AAGACCUUACGCUUUUGGAGCGGCCGAUGUCUGAUUAGCUUGUUGGUGAGGUAAAGGCUUACCAAGGCUUCGAUCAGUAGCUGGUCUGAGAGGACGACCAGCCACACUGGGACUGAGACACGGCCCAGACUCCUACGGGAGGCAGCAGUGGGGAAUUUUGGACAAUGGGGGAAACCCUGAUCCAGCCAUGCCGCGUGAGUGAAGAAGGCCUUCGGGUUGUAAAGCUCUUUCAGCCGGGAAGAAAAGGUUGCGAUUAAUAAUCGCAAUUUAUGACGGUACCGGAAGAAGAAGCACCGGCUAACUACGUGCCAGCAGCCGCGGUAAUACGUAGGGUGCGAGCGUUAAUCGGAAUUACUGGGCGUAAAGGGUGCGCAGGCGGUUUUGUAAGUCAGAUGUGAAAUCCCCGGGCUUAACCUGGGAACU
RNAcentral lists this ribosomal RNA (423 nucleotides) under uncultured bacterium. RNAcentral's name for it is "bacterial SSU rRNA". It matches the Rfam family "Bacterial small subunit ribosomal RNA", at positions 207 to 622 of the family's 1533-position model. The record is from RNAcentral.